UAGAGUUUGAUCCUGGCUCAGGAUGAACGCUGGCGGCGUGCUUAACACAUGCAAGUCGAACGGUGAAGCCCCGCUUGCGGGGUGGAUCAGUGGCGAACGGGUGAGUAACACGUGAGCAACCUGCCCCUGACUCUGGGAUAAGCGCUGGAAACGGCGUCUAAUACUGGAUACGAGACGUGAUCGCAUGGUCAACGUUUGGAAAGAUUUUUCGGUUGGGGAUGGGCUCGCGGCCUAUCAGCUUGUUGGUGAGGUAAUGGCUCACCAAGGCGUCGACGGGUAGCCGGCCUGAGAGGGUGACCGGCCACACUGGGACUGAGACACGGCCCAGACUCCUACGGGAGGCAGCAGUGGGGAAUAUUGCACAAUGGGCGCAAGCCUGAUGCAGCAACGCCGCGUGAGGGAUGACGGCCUUCGGGUUGUAAACCUCUUUUAGCAGGGAAGAAGCGAGAGUGACGGUACCUGCAGAAAAAGCACCGGCUAACUACGUGCCAGCAGCCGCGGUAAUACGUAGGGUGCAAGCGUUAUCCGGAAUUAUUGGGCGUAAAGAGCUCGUAGGCGGUUUGUCGCGUCUGCUGUGAAAUCUGGGGGCUCAACCCCCAGCCUGCAGUGGGUACGGGCAGACUAGAGUGCGGUAGGGGAGAUUGGAAUUCCUGGUGUAGCGGUGGAAUGCGCAGAUAUCAGGAGGAACACCGAUGGCGAAGGCAGAUCUCUGGGCCGUAACUGACGCUGAGGAGCGAAAGGGUGGGGAGCAAACAGGCUUAGAUACCCUGGUAGUCCACCCCGUAAACGUUGGGAACUAGUUGUGGGGUCCAUUCCACGGAUUCCGUGACGCAGCUAACGCAUUAAGUUCCCCGCCUGGGGAGUACGGCCGCAAGGCUAAAACUCAAAGGAAUUGACGGGGACCCGCACAAGCGGCGGAGCAUGCGGAUUAAUUCGAUGCAACGCGAAGAACCUUACCAAGGCUUGACAUAUACGAGAACGGGCCAGAAAUGGUCAACUCUUUGGACACUCGUAAACAGGUGGUGCAUGGUUGUCGUCAGCUCGUGUCGUGAGAUGUUGGGUUAAGUCCCGCAACGAGCGCAACCCUCGUUCUAUGUUGCCAGCACGUAAUGGUGGGAACUCAUGGGAUACUGCCGGGGUCAACUCGGAGGAAGGUGGGGAUGACGUCAAAUCAUCAUGCCCCUUAUGUCUUGGGCUUCACGCAUGCUACAAUGGCCGGUACAAUGGGCUGCAAUACCGUGAGGUGGAGCGAAUCCCAAAAAGCCGGUCCCAGUUCGGAUUGAGGUCUGCAACUCGACCUCAUGAAGUCGGAGUCGCUAGU
This 1321-nucleotide ribosomal RNA is filed under the name Microbacterium phyllosphaerae. RNAcentral's name for it is "bacterial SSU rRNA". It matches the Rfam family "Bacterial small subunit ribosomal RNA", at positions 1 to 1339 of the family's 1533-position model. The record is from RNAcentral. Lineage: Bacteria; Bacillati; Actinomycetota; Actinomycetes; Micrococcales; Microbacteriaceae.